This 253-nucleotide ribosomal RNA is filed under the name uncultured bacterium. RNAcentral describes it as "partial 16S ribosomal RNA". It matches the Rfam family "Bacterial small subunit ribosomal RNA", at positions 524 to 776 of the family's 1533-position model. The record is from RNAcentral.
GACGAACAGUGCAAACGUUGUUCGGAAUCACUGGGCUUAAAGGGCGCGUAGGCGGGCCAGCCAGUCUGUGGUGAAAGCCUCCAGCUUAACUGGAGAAGUGCCGUGGAUACUGCUGGCCUCGAGGAGGAUAGGGGCAUCUGGAACGGUCGGUGGAGCGGUGAAAUGCGUUGAUAUCGACCGGAACUCCGGUGGCGAAGGCGAGGUGCUGGGUCCUUUCUGACGCUGAUGCGCGAAAGCCAGGGGAGCAAACGGG